CGGGGCGUAGCGCAGUCCGGUAGCGCGCCUGCUUUGGGAGCAGGAGGUCGUCCGUUCGAAUCGGACCGCCCCGA
RNAcentral lists this transfer RNA (74 nucleotides) under Gemmatimonadota bacterium. RNAcentral's name for it is "Gemmatimonadetes bacterium (sediment metagenome) tRNA-Pro". It matches the Rfam family "tRNA". Rfam says of the family: Transfer RNA (tRNA) molecules are approximately 80 nucleotides in length. The record is from RNAcentral. Lineage: Bacteria; Pseudomonadati; Gemmatimonadota.